CCUACGGGGGGCUGCAGUGAGGAAUAUUGGUCAAUGGACGAGAGUCUGAACCAGCCAAGUAGCGUGAAGGAUGACUGCCCUAUGGGUUGUAAACUUCUUUUAUAUGGGAAUAAAACGUUCCACGUGUGGGAUUUUGUAUGUACCAUAUGAAUAAGGAUCGGCUAACUCCGUGCCAGCAGCCGCGGUAAUACGGAGGGUCCGAGCGUUAUCCGGAUUUAUUGGGUUUAAAGGGAGCGUAGGUGGAUUGUUAAGUCAGUUGUGAAAGUUUGCGGCUCAACCGUAAAAUUGCAGUUGAAACUGGCAGUCUUGAGUACAGUAGAGGUGGGCAGAAUUCGUGGUGUAGCGGUGAAAUGCUUAGAUAUCACGAAGAACUCCGAUUGCGAAGGCAGUUCACUGGACUGCAACUGACACUGAGGCUCGAAGGUGUGGGUAUCAAACAGGAUUAGAUACCCCAGUAGUC
This 460-nucleotide ribosomal RNA is filed under the name uncultured bacterium. Its description in RNAcentral is "partial 16S ribosomal RNA". It matches the Rfam family "Bacterial small subunit ribosomal RNA", at positions 338 to 795 of the family's 1533-position model. The record is from RNAcentral.